ACUCCUACGGGAGGCAGCAGUGGGGAAUAUUGGACAAUGGGCGAAAGCCUGAUCCAGCCAUGCCGCGUGUGUGAAGAAGGUCUUCGGAUUGUAAAGCACUUUAAGUUGGGAGGAAGGGCAUUAACCUAAUACGUUAGUGUUUUGACGUUACCGACAGAAUAAGCACCGGCUAACUCUGUGCCAGCAGCCGCGGUAAUACAGAGGGUGCAAGCGUUAAUCGGAAUUACUGGGCGUAAAAGCGCGCGUAGGUGGUUUGUUAAGUUGGAUGUGAAAUCCCCGGGCUCAACCUGGGAACUGCAUUCAAAACUGACUGACUAGAGUAUGGUAGAGGGUGGUGGAAUUUCCUGUGUAGCGGUGAAAUGCGUAGAUAUAGGAAGGAACACCAGUGGCGAAGGCGACCACCUGGACUAAUACUGACACUGAGGUGCGAAAGCGUGGGGAAGCAAACAGGAUUAGAUACCCUGUAGCACAGAG
Molecule: ribosomal RNA, 474 nt
Filed under: uncultured bacterium
Lineage: Bacteria
Description: bacterial SSU rRNA
Rfam family: Bacterial small subunit ribosomal RNA
Source: RNAcentral